AUACUUACCUGCCAGGGGAGACACCAUGAUUACAAAGGUGGUUCUCCCAGGGCAAGGCUCGACCAUUGCACUCCGGCUGUGCUGACCCCAGCCAUUUCCCUAAAUGCCGGAAACUCGGCUGCAUCAUUUGUGGUAGUGGGGGACUGCGUUCACUCUUA
This is a small nuclear RNA of Rana temporaria (common frog), 158 nucleotides long. RefSeq annotates it as U1 spliceosomal RNA. NCBI's taxonomy places the organism in Eukaryota, Metazoa, Chordata, Amphibia, Anura, Ranidae. The record is from RefSeq and is a predicted model, not a curated record. The transcript has a single exon.